UACGUAGGGUGCGAGCGUUAUCCGGAAUCACUGGGCGUAAAGGGCGUCUAGGCGGUCCAGUAAGUCCUGCGUGAAAGCUCCCGGCUCAACUGGGAGAGCGCGUGGGAGACUGUUGGGCUAGAGACUCGGAGAGGGGUGUGGAAUUCCCGGUGGAGUGGUGAAAUGCGUUGAGAUCGGGAGGAACACCAGUGGCGAAGGCGGCACCCUGGCCGAGUUCUGACGCUGAAGCGCGACAGCGUGGGGAGCAAACGGG
RNAcentral lists this ribosomal RNA (253 nucleotides) under uncultured bacterium. RNAcentral's name for it is "partial 16S ribosomal RNA". It matches the Rfam family "Bacterial small subunit ribosomal RNA", at positions 524 to 776 of the family's 1533-position model. The record is from RNAcentral.